Molecule: non-coding RNA, 31 nt
Filed under: Homo sapiens (human)
Lineage: Eukaryota; Metazoa; Chordata; Mammalia; Primates; Hominidae
Source: RNAcentral
UGGGUCACAAAUACUAACUUUAAAAGAAGCA